This 623-nucleotide ribosomal RNA is filed under the name Salmonella enterica. Its description in RNAcentral is "partial 23S ribosomal RNA". It matches the Rfam family "Bacterial large subunit ribosomal RNA", at positions 1 to 652 of the family's 2925-position model. Lineage: Bacteria; Pseudomonadati; Pseudomonadota; Gammaproteobacteria; Enterobacterales; Enterobacteriaceae. The record is from RNAcentral.
GGGUUGUGAGGUUAAGCGACUAAGCGUACACGGUGGAUGCCCUGGCAGUCAGAGGCGAUGAAGGGCGUGCUAAUCUGCGAUAAGCGCCGGUAAGGUGAUAUGAACCGUUAUAACCGGCGAUACCCGAAUGGGGAAACCCAGUGUGAUUCGUCACACUAUCAUUACGUGAAUACAUAGCGUAAUGAAGCGAACCGGGGGAACUGAAACAUCUAAGUACCCCGAGGAAAAGAAAUCAACCGAGAUUCCCCCAGUAGCGGCGAGCGAACGGGGAGGAGCCCAGAGCCUGAAUCAGCAUGUGUGUUAGUGGAAGCGUCUGGAAAGGCGCGCGAUACAGGGUGACAGCCCCGUACACAAAAGCGCAUGUGUUGUGAGCUCGAUGAGUAGGGCGGGACACGUGGUAUCCUGUCUGAAUAUGGGGGGACCAUCCUCCAAGGCUAAAUACUCCUGACUGACCGAUAGUGAACCAGUACCGUGAGGGAAAGGCGAAAAGAACCCCGGCGAGGGGAGUGAAAAAGAACCUGAAACCGUGUACGUACAAGCAGUGGGAGCACAGGUUUACCUGUGUGACUGCGUACCUUUUGUAUAAUGGGUCAGCGACUUAUAUUCUGUAGCAAGGUUAACCG